GGGUUCACCCAUUGGUCAGGCUUAAUUGUCUGCACUGGUGAGAUGAGUCUCUACCUUCUGAGGAACUUUCAUGUCAUUAAUUUGGUGCGCCGGGGAAGCAGGACUGUUACCUUGAAAAAAUUAGAGUGCUUAAAGCAGGCUAUUGCCUGAAUACAUUAGCAUGGAAUAAUGAAAUAGGACAGCAUGGUUCUAUUUUGUUGGUUUCUAGGAUCACCGUA
RNAcentral lists this ribosomal RNA (218 nucleotides) under Campeiostachys nutans. RNAcentral describes it as "Elymus nutans partial small subunit ribosomal RNA". The stretch from base 48 to 218 matches the Rfam family "Eukaryotic small subunit ribosomal RNA", at positions 693 to 864 of the family's 1831-position model. Lineage: Eukaryota; Viridiplantae; Streptophyta; Magnoliopsida; Poales; Poaceae. The record is from RNAcentral.